UUUUCCUCUCCUGCUACUAACCAAAAAAAUCCAGAGAGGAACCAAAAAUCAGAGAGAAAUUGAGAGACAUCCAAGAUCAACUACUCUAGAUUGAUUGAAACUAGAAACUGAUUUAGAUUUUGUAAACCUAAAGUGAUUAAAAACCCACUUUAUAGAAGUACAGAAAAAAAAAAAUUAACUCUUAGAAGAAGAAGAUUGAAUUCGUGGAAUCAAUUUCCUAGAAGUUCUAUAAGAAGAAGAUUGAAGUACAAAUAUUUGAAGAUUCAGUAGAAUGGAACCAAGUCGAAGCGGUUCUGAUCCUUCUCGUUCAGCUACUACGUCAUCCCAGAAAACCGUAGCCAGCAAAGGGAAUAAGCCGAAGUACCUUAUCACUGUCAAUUUUGCUGGCAAGGUCAUAGGAGAUAAGAUUGCUACUGGGAGAUUUGCUACUAGGGUUGAGAGCUCAUACGGAGUCGCGUUCCUAUAUCACACAAGGAGUGGAGGUGUGUGCCGGACAAUUUUAAAGAUGACGUGUGGACUGCUUUGAAGAUGAAUAACCACUUCCAGAACUCACUCCAGAAAUCUGGGAAAGUGCAAGAGCAGAUGUUCCACUUGGGAUUGGCCCAUAUAUCUGGGAGGAAUUUGUAGAUAUGGAGAAGAAUCCUGAAAAGAUAGCAAAGAAUAAGGUGAAUGCAGAGAGCAAAGCAAUGCAAACUGUCCACCAUACACUUGGGAGAUGCACAUACCGUAACAAGAAGCAUAAGUUAGAUGAACCUGCAGGCGAAGAAGUGGUACCACCUUCUACUACAGAGAAAUGGUUAUAUGGACAUGUAAGACGUGACGGGAGUGUCCAUCCUAGUGCAGUUGAAAGCUAGAACAAAGUAAGUGAGGUUUAUGAAAGGAACAAAGCAAAAGGAAAGCAUCCCAGCACUAGUAAUGUGAUUUCAGAUGAACUUGAGGAGAUGUUUGGAAAAAAACAAAAUGGUGGUAUUCGUGGCUACUCAUCUCAUAUGUCAAAGAAGCAAGUUGAAAUGGCAGCAAUUGGAGUUGCUGCCCUUCACCAAAUAGAUGACGAAAAUGCACUUAAACUAAGCAAAAUUGAAGCUGAAUUGGGGUCCUUGGGCAGCGCAGUGAAGGAGAUUUUGAACUGCAUGAAACGCAAGCAACCUACAUCAUCAGCUCGUGUAGGCACUCCCAGCCCAGAAAAAAGGUUCAAUUCUCUUUUUGGUCACCCAAGUGAUGAUAGCCUGGAUCAUGCCGAUAGUUUAAGUAAUGAGACUCCUUCCUUGCAAGUUGAAAUGCUAGAUAAUAGAGGAAAAGUUGUUGCAUCAGAGUGUAUCGCUGGCGGCGAUAUUUGUCAUUCUAGAAAGGUGAUGCCAACAGAGAAGAGGGUUCUUAUCGAGCAAGUGCAUGAUCAGUCUGCGUUAGUAUGGGAUGCACCACAAGGAAAUGGAUGGGUGCAUUUGAGGGACCUAGAAAUGCCUGCUUGGGUGGUCUGGUCUGCAGAUAGGUUGCAAUCGGUGCCAAUCAAGAAGUAAUAUAUUCCUAGUUUGAUUCUUUUUUGCGUUCUUUUGCUCAAUAGUGACAGGUUCAACACAAGCAUAGCAACCCAGUUGGCACUGAACAGUAGUAUUUCCUUCUUUCUUUUUUUGUUCUUUUUUGUUAUUUCGGCUAUAUUUUUUACUUUUGUGCAGCAAGGACAGGUUCGACACUAGCACAUGGAAAAUUCCACUUGUUGCAUCUAAGAAUUUUCUUGUUAGUGUCCUUUUUUGUUUGUUUCAGCCUUAGUUGUGUUGUCUAGCACAAUGAGGAUAGGUUUUUUUGGGGGUCUGUAACUGCCUAUAUUUACUCAAUAUAAUAUAUCUUAUUAAUUUGGUGUUUGACCAAAACCUUUUUAACUCCGCCAAUGCUUGCACUGCCGGUCCCAAG
Molecule: RNA transcript, 1908 nt
Organism: Papaver somniferum (opium poppy)
Lineage: Eukaryota; Viridiplantae; Streptophyta; Magnoliopsida; Ranunculales; Papaveraceae
Exons: 7
Source: RefSeq, a predicted model, not a curated record